This 253-nucleotide ribosomal RNA is filed under the name uncultured bacterium. RNAcentral describes it as "partial 16S ribosomal RNA". It matches the Rfam family "Bacterial small subunit ribosomal RNA", at positions 524 to 776 of the family's 1533-position model. The record is from RNAcentral.
UACGUAGGGUGCGAGCGUUGUCCGGAAUUACUGGGCGUAAAGAGCUCGUAGGUGGUUUGUCGCGUUGUUCGUGAAAACCGGGGGCUUAACCCUCGGCGUGCGGGCGAUACGGGCAGACUUGAGUACUGCAGGGGAGACUGGAAUUCCUGGUGUAGCGGUGGAAUGCGCAGAUAUCAGGAAGAACACCCGUGGCGAAGGCGGCUCUCUGGUACGUGACUGACGCUGAGACGCGAAAGCGUGGGGAGCGAACAGG